Hippocampus comes (tiger tail seahorse) is the source of this 302-nucleotide long non-coding RNA. RefSeq lists it as uncharacterized. The record is from RefSeq and is a predicted model, not a curated record. NCBI's taxonomy places the organism in Eukaryota, Metazoa, Chordata, Actinopteri, Syngnathiformes, Syngnathidae. The transcript has 2 exons.
GUUAUACAGGUACUGUACAUGUCCAAUCAGAAUAUUGUGGAAAAUCUAUCAAUAUAUGCUGAUCCAUUGAUCCAAUACAAUCAGCAAUUGAAAAUUGCACAGAUCACCUGUUCAAAAGACUUGAGUCCAGCUUCUUUGCCCAGCUUCUGGAUGUCCUCCAAAAUGGCAUUCUUCACGUCCUGCCGGCAAUCACAGCAAACAUUGGCAUCCAAAGAAAUUGGGCUGCAGUGUUUUGGGGAAUGUUGUUGUCAAAAUAAAGUUGGUGUGAAUUCUGUUGUCAAAAUAAACUCACAAUGCUCUUG